Molecule: ribosomal RNA, 485 nt
Filed under: uncultured bacterium
Lineage: Bacteria
Description: bacterial SSU rRNA
Rfam family: Bacterial small subunit ribosomal RNA
Source: RNAcentral
AGAGUUUGAUCAUGGCUCAGAACGAACGCUGGCGGCGCGUCUUAAACAUGCAAGUCGAACGAUCUGUAGCAAUACAGGGAGUGGCGGACGGGUGAGGAACACGUAGGAAUCUACCUUGAAGAGCGGGACAACUUUGGAAACCGGGGCUAAUACCGCAUAGUACAGAGAUGUUAAAGGGCUAGCAAUAGUCGCUUCGAGAUGAGCCUGCGGUCUAUCAGCUUGUUAGUGAGGUAAUGGCUCACCAAGGCUACGACGGAUAGCCGGUCUGAGAGGAUGAUCGGCCACACUGGCACUGAGACACGGGCCAGACUCCUACGGGAGGCAGCAGUUAAGAAUCUUGCGCAAUGGGGGAAACCCUGACGCAGCGACGCCGCGUGAAGGAUGAAGGCUUUCGGGUUGUAAACUUCGGUAGACUGGGAAGAAGAACUACGUUCGUUGAGGGCGUAGAGUGACGGUACCAGUCUGAAGCCCCGGCUAAUUACGUG